RNAcentral lists this transfer RNA (77 nucleotides) under Alphaproteobacteria bacterium. Its description in RNAcentral is "tRNA-Pro". It matches the Rfam family "tRNA". From Rfam's summary of the family: Transfer RNA (tRNA) molecules are approximately 80 nucleotides in length. Their secondary structure includes four short double-helical elements and three loops (D, anti-codon, and T loops). Further hydrogen bonds mediate the characteristic L-shaped molecular structure. tRNAs have two regions of fundamental functional importance: the anti-codon, which is responsible for specific mRNA codon recognition, and the 3' end, to which the tRNAs corresponding amino acid is attached (by aminoacyl-tRNA synthetases). tRNAs cope with the degeneracy of the genetic code in two manners: having more than one tRNA (with a specific anti-codon) for a particular amino acid; and 'wobble' base-pairing, i.e. permitting non-standard base-pairing at the 3rd anti-codon position. RNAcentral also lists the same sequence under 1 other name. The record is from RNAcentral. Lineage: Bacteria; Pseudomonadati; Pseudomonadota; Alphaproteobacteria.
CGGGGUAUAGCUCAGCCUGGUAGAGCACUUGCUUUGGGAGCAAGGGGCCGUAAGUUCGAAUCUUGCUACCCCGACCA